GACGAACCGUGCAAACGUUGUUCGGAAUCACUGGGCUUAAAGGGCGCGUAGGCGGGCGAUCAAGUCCGGGGUGAAAUCUUUCGGCUCAACCGGAAAACUGCCUUGGAUACUGAUCGCCUCGAGGGAGGUAGGGGCAGGUGGAACUUCCGGUGGAGCGGUGAAAUGCGUUGAUAUCGGAAGGAACGCCGGUGGCGAAAGCGGCCUGCUGGAUCUCUUCUGACGCUGAGGCGCGAAAGCUAGGGGAGCAAACGGG
RNAcentral lists this ribosomal RNA (253 nucleotides) under uncultured Gemmata sp. RNAcentral describes it as "partial 16S ribosomal RNA". It matches the Rfam family "Bacterial small subunit ribosomal RNA", at positions 524 to 776 of the family's 1533-position model. Lineage: Bacteria; Pseudomonadati; Planctomycetota; Planctomycetia; Gemmatales; Gemmataceae. The record is from RNAcentral.